UACGGAGGGGGCGAGCGUUAUUCGGAAUUAUUGGGCGUAAAGGGCGCGUAGGCGGGUGCUCAAGUCCGGGGUGAAAUCCUCCAGCUCAACUGGAGAACUGCCUCGGAUACUGGGCGUCUCGAGUGUGGUAGGGGUAUGCGGAACUAUCGGUGGAGCGGUGAAAUGCGUUGAUAUCGAUAGGAACUCCGGUGGCGAAGGCGGCAUACUGGACCACCACUGACGCUGAUGCGCGAAAGCCAGGGGAGCAAACGGG
This 253-nucleotide ribosomal RNA is filed under the name uncultured bacterium. Its description in RNAcentral is "partial 16S ribosomal RNA". It matches the Rfam family "Bacterial small subunit ribosomal RNA", at positions 524 to 776 of the family's 1533-position model. The record is from RNAcentral.